GUCUGCAACCAAAUCACCCAUUAGAUGCGGACGACCUCGUCAGAUAUCGGAAGCUAAGCAGGGAUGAGCCUGGAUAGUGCCUGGAUGGGAUACU
Molecule: ribosomal RNA, 94 nt
Filed under: Petromyzon marinus (sea lamprey)
Lineage: Eukaryota; Metazoa; Chordata; Hyperoartia; Petromyzontiformes; Petromyzontidae
Source: RNAcentral